GCGGGAGUAGUUCAAUUGGCUAGAAUGUCUCCCUUCCAAGGAGAAGGUUGCGGGUUCGACCCCCGUCUCCCGCU
This 74-nucleotide transfer RNA is filed under the name bacterium. Its description in RNAcentral is "tRNA-Gly". It matches the Rfam family "tRNA". From Rfam's summary of the family: Transfer RNA (tRNA) molecules are approximately 80 nucleotides in length. The record is from RNAcentral. RNAcentral also lists the same sequence under 2 other names.